This 26-nucleotide non-coding RNA is filed under the name Gallus gallus (chicken). The record is from RNAcentral. RNAcentral also lists the same sequence under 7 other names. Lineage: Eukaryota; Metazoa; Chordata; Aves; Galliformes; Phasianidae.
UUGGUGGUUCAGUGGUAGAAUUCUCG